Molecule: long non-coding RNA, 247 nt
Organism: Scomber japonicus (chub mackerel)
Lineage: Eukaryota; Metazoa; Chordata; Actinopteri; Scombriformes; Scombridae
Exons: 3
Source: RefSeq, a predicted model, not a curated record
CUCCCAGAUCCCAAGAUCCUUUGCGCGGCGCUGUUCAGUGCCGCGAAAACACAACAAUGGCGACACCAACAGGUGAAGACUUUUCAUUCAAGUGGAGCAAGGAGCAAACCGAGCUCCUGAUUAAACAAAGAGGGGAAAAUGACCAUCUAUUCACGGGGGCCAAAAACUCCGCCACGGCGGGAUGGAGAGCAAUACUGGAAAAGAUUGGGCUGGAGGGGAAGGUCCAGCCCUACCAGGCCAAAAAAAA